GACGAACGCUGGCGGCGCGCCUAACACAUGCAAGUCGAACGAGAGAUGAGGAGCUUGCUCUUCAGAUCGAGUGGCGAACGGGUGAGUAACGCGUGAGGAACCUGCCUCAAAGAGGGGGACAACAGUUGGAAACGACUGCUAAUACCGCAUAAGCCCACGGCUCGGCAUCGAGCAGAGGGAAAAGGAGCGAUCCGCUUUGAGAUGGCCUCGCGUCCGAUUAGCUAGUUGGUGAGGUAACGGCCCACCAAGGCGACGAUCGGUAGCCGGACUGAGAGGUUGAACGGCCACAUUGGGACUGAGACACGGCCCAGACUCCUACGGGAGGCAGCAGUGGGGAAUAUUGCACAAUGGGGGAAACCCUGAUGCAGCGACGCCGCGUGGAGGAAGAAGGUCUUCGGAUUGUAAAACUCCUGUUGUUGAGGAAGAUAAUGACGGUACUCAACAAGGAAGUGACGGCUAACUACGUGCC
This 469-nucleotide ribosomal RNA is filed under the name uncultured bacterium. Its description in RNAcentral is "bacterial SSU rRNA". It matches the Rfam family "Bacterial small subunit ribosomal RNA", at positions 28 to 509 of the family's 1533-position model. The record is from RNAcentral.